UACGUAGGGUGCGAGCGUUAAUCGGAAUUACUGGGCGUAAAGCGUGCGCAGGCGGUUUUGCAAGCCGGAUGUGAAAUCCCCGGGCUUAACCUGGGAAUGGCAUUUGGGACUGCAAGGCUGGAGUGCGGCAGAGGAGACUGGAAUUCCGCGUGUAGCAGUGAAAUGCGUAGAUAUGCGGAGGAACACCGAUGGCGAAGGCAAUCCCCUGGGCCUGCACUGACGCUCAUGCACGAAAGCGUGGGGAGCAAACAGG
RNAcentral lists this ribosomal RNA (253 nucleotides) under uncultured bacterium. Its description in RNAcentral is "partial 16S ribosomal RNA". It matches the Rfam family "Bacterial small subunit ribosomal RNA", at positions 524 to 776 of the family's 1533-position model. The record is from RNAcentral.